AUUGAACGCUGGCGGCAUGCCUUACACAUGCAAGUCGAACGGCAGCACGGGAGCUUGCUCCUGGUGGCGAGUGGCGAACGGGUGAGUAAUACAUCGGAACGUACCCUGAAGUGGGGGAUAACGUAGCGAAAGUUACGCUAAUACCGCAUAUUCUGUGAGCAGGAAAGAGGGGGAUCGCAAGACCUCUUGCUUUAGGAGCGGCCGAUGUCGGAUUAGCUAGUUGGUGAGGUAAAGGCUCACCAAGGCGACGAUCCGUAGCGGGUCUGAGAGGAUGAUCCGCCACACUGGGACUGAGACACGGCCCAGACUCCUACGGGAGGCAGCAGUGGGGAAUUUUGGACAAUGGGCGCAAGCCUGAUCCAGCCAUGCCGCGUGAGUGAAGAAGGCCUUCGGGUUGUUAAAGGC
This 405-nucleotide ribosomal RNA is filed under the name uncultured bacterium. Its description in RNAcentral is "bacterial SSU rRNA". It matches the Rfam family "Bacterial small subunit ribosomal RNA", at positions 30 to 433 of the family's 1533-position model. The record is from RNAcentral.